This 497-nucleotide ribosomal RNA is filed under the name uncultured bacterium. RNAcentral's name for it is "partial 16S ribosomal RNA". It matches the Rfam family "Bacterial small subunit ribosomal RNA", at positions 28 to 507 of the family's 1533-position model. The record is from RNAcentral.
GAUGAACGCUGGCGGCGUGCCUAAUACAUGCAAGUCGAGCGAAAAGACGAGGAGCUUGCUCCGUGGACGUUAGCGGAGGGCGGGAGAGUAACGCGUGGAUAACCUACUUAUAAGACUGGGAUAAUUACGGGAAACCGGAGAUAAUACCAGAGAAUAUAUUGAAGCGCAGGGGUCAAUGGAGAAAGACGGCUGUGGGGGAAGGAAUAGAGGGAUACGAGCCGGAUUAGGUGGUUGGUAAGGUAAAGGGCUUGCAAGGCUACGAGGCGUAACCGAGCUGAGUGGCUGGUCGGCCACCUUGGAACUUAACCACGGUCCAUACUCCUACGGGAGGCAGCAGUCUGGAAUCUUCCGCAAUGGUCGAAAGCCUUACGCAGCGACGCCGCGUGAGUUAUGAAGGCCUUCGGAUCGUAAAGCUCUGUUAUUAGGUAAGAACAACUGUGGAAUGAACUAUGCCCGUCUUGACGGUACCUAAUCAGAAAGCCACGGCUAACUACGUG